UAUGGCAACCAGUUCUCAGUCAGCCUCAAGGGCUCUGGCAAAAAGCAGGCCAGGGAGAGUCAGCCAGGGUAUGUGAGGUCAACUUCCUUCUGGGGGGGUAAAGUUCAGGAUGAUGCUGAGAAAGAGUCCAGGCCUGAGAGUCUUGAGGCCCAGGGCCAAGCCUACCUCUGCAGGACUCUUCGUUGACCUGGGAGCUCAUCCUGUCUGACACAAGCCAUCCUUCACCUUCCACCUACUCCCAAGUCAGCCCUGCCUUCUCCCACAAAGUCCAGACUCCUAUCCAUCAGCCGUUUGACACUCUACAUGGAAGAUAGCUUUCAGCUACAAUGAACAUUGCUGCUGUGAUUGUGGAUGUACAGACAAUCUUUUCAGGUGUCUGCUUUCCAUUCUCUUGGGUGUGUCCUCAGAAGCUGAAGUGCUGGACUACAUGCUGUUCUAUGGGAUGAAUCAGACAUGGUCUCACCUCUGACCUGGCCCUUCCCUCCGGAUGCUGUCCCCCCAGAUAAUUGUGUGGCUCAGUCCUUCACUUUUUUCCAAGGUAGUGCUCAAAUGUCAACCUAUCAGAGACUCCACUCUAACCACCCAAUUUAGACCUGCAACCUACACCAUAACCACGCACUCAACCCCUCUUGCUCUGCUUUUCCCCAUUGCACUAGUCUCUUUCUCACCUUACCCUCCUACUAUGGACUGCCAGCCCACCAGCCCCAGAUUCAGACUUUGAUAUUCUAACCCUCAGUACCUGAUCAUCUGACUGCAUUUGGGAAUAGGGCCCUUAAAGUAGUGAUUAAGGUAAAAUGAGGUCCUACGGGUGGCCUUCACUCAACACAAAGAGGAGAUCAGGACACAGACACACAGAGGGAAGCCCACAUGAGGACACCAGAAGACAAUGGCCACAUGCUGGCCAAGGAGAGAGGCCUGAGAAGAAGCCAAACCUGCCAAUAUAUUGAUCUUAGACUUCUGACCUCCAGAUAUGUGAGA
Molecule: long non-coding RNA, 978 nt
Organism: Canis lupus familiaris (dog)
Lineage: Eukaryota; Metazoa; Chordata; Mammalia; Carnivora; Canidae
Exons: 4
Source: RefSeq, a predicted model, not a curated record